GACGAACGCUGGCGGCGUGCUUAACACAUGCAAGUCGAACGGAGAGGCCCUGCUUUUGUGGGGUGGUGGAGGGGCGAACGGGGGAGUAACACGUGAGUAACCUGCCCUCGUGGGAGGGUGAACUUCAGGCAACUGGGGCUAAUACCGGAUAGGAGCUCCUGCUGCAUGGUGGGGGCGGGAAAGUUUCGGCGGUUGGGGAUGGACUCGCGGCGUAUCAGCUUGUUGGUGGGGUAGUGGCUUACCAAGGCUUUGACGCGUAGCCGGGCUGAGAGGGUGACCGGCCCAGCUAGGACGGAGAUGCGGCCCAGCCUCCACCGGGAGGCAGCAGUGGGGAAUGUUACACAAUGCGCGGAAGCCUGAUGCAGCAACGCCGCGCGCGGGAUGACGGCCAUCGGUUUGUAAACCGCAGUCGCCUGUGACGAAGCGUUAGUGACGGUAACAGGUAAAGAAGCACCGGCUAACUACGUG
This 468-nucleotide ribosomal RNA is filed under the name uncultured bacterium. RNAcentral's name for it is "partial 16S ribosomal RNA". It matches the Rfam family "Bacterial small subunit ribosomal RNA", at positions 28 to 507 of the family's 1533-position model. The record is from RNAcentral.